GACGAACGCUGGCGACGUGCUUAACACAUGCAAGUCGAACGGAAAGGCCCUGCUUGCCGGGUACUCGAGUGGCGAACGGGUGAGUAACACGUGGGUGAUUUGCCCUGCACUUCGGGAUAAGCCUGGGAAACUGGGUCUAAUACCGGAUAGGAGCCAUUUUUAGUGUGAUGGUUGGAAAGUUUUUUCGGUGUAGGAUGAGCUCGCGGCCUAUCAGCUUGUUGGUGGGGUAAUGGCCUACCAAGGCGGCGACGGGUAGCCGGCCUGAGAGGGUGGACGGCCACAUGGGACCUGGAUUACGGCCCGGCCUCCACCGGGGGGCGGCGGGGGGGAAAAUGCCACAAGGGGGGAAGGCCGGUGGCGGGGAGGCGGGGGGGGGAUGACGGCCUUCGGGUUGUAAACUCCUUUCGCUAGGGACGAAGCUUUUUGUGACGGUACCUAGAUAAGAAGCACCGGCUAACUACGUG
RNAcentral lists this ribosomal RNA (464 nucleotides) under uncultured bacterium. RNAcentral's name for it is "partial 16S ribosomal RNA". It matches the Rfam family "Bacterial small subunit ribosomal RNA", at positions 28 to 507 of the family's 1533-position model. The record is from RNAcentral.